This 211-nucleotide long non-coding RNA is filed under the name Elaeis guineensis (African oil palm). Its description in RNAcentral is "long non-coding RNA (EGUI_LNC058986)". Lineage: Eukaryota; Viridiplantae; Streptophyta; Magnoliopsida; Arecales; Arecaceae. The record is from RNAcentral.
AGUAGAUGGCUGGUGGUUGCUUAAAGCCUAUCCAAAGGAGGAGAGAUUCUAUACCAAAUAGAAAGAAUGAUAUAUAGAAUAAAAUCAUAAAAAAAAUAUCACCUUAACCCUAGCCCUAGCCCUAUUUAAGGAUCAAAAAACACCAGCAAAAGGGAGAGGAGAAUCAUCUUUGAAAGCUAGAAAUCAAGCAAGGAGAGUUUGGAGUAUCUGG